This 429-nucleotide ribosomal RNA is filed under the name Acidobacteriota bacterium. RNAcentral describes it as "Acidobacteria bacterium partial 16S ribosomal RNA". It matches the Rfam family "Bacterial small subunit ribosomal RNA", at positions 355 to 776 of the family's 1533-position model. The record is from RNAcentral. Lineage: Bacteria; Pseudomonadati; Acidobacteriota.
UGGGGAAUUUUGGACAAUGGGGGAAACCCUGAUCCAGCCAUCCCGCGUGUGCGAUGAAGGCCUUCGGGUUGUAAAGCACUUUUGGCAGGAAAGAAACGUCAUGGGUUAAUACCCCGUGAAACUGACGGUACCUGCAGAAUAAGCACCGGCUAACUACGUGCCAGCAGCCGCGGUAAUACGUAGGGUGCAAGCGUUAAUCGGAAUUACUGGGCGUAAAGAGUGCGCAGGCGGUUCGGAAAGAAAGAUGUGAAAUCCCAGAGCUCAACUUGGGAACUGCAUUUUUAACUACCGGGCUAGAGUGUGUGAGAGGGAGGUGGAAUUCCGCGUGUAGCAGUGAGAUGCGUAGAGAUGCGGAGGAACACCGGUGGCGAAGGCAGCCUCCUGGGAUAACACUGACGCUCAUGCACGAAAGCGUGGGGAGCAAACAGG